AGUGAACGCUGGCGACGUGCUUAACACAUGCAAGUCGAACGGAUAAGUGCUGUAGCAAUACAGAUUACUGUCAGUGGCAGACGGGUGAGUAAUACAUGGGAAUCUGCCUUGGAGUCUAGGAUAACAGUUGGAAACGACUGCUAAUACUGGAUAUUGCCGAGAGGUGAAAGAAUUUCGCUCCAAGAUGAGCCCAUGCAAGAUUAGCUUGUUGGUGGGGUAAUGGCCUACCAAGGCAACGAUCUUUAGUUGGUCUGAGAGGAUGAACAACCACACUGGAACUGAGACACGGUCCAGACUCCUACGGGGGGCAGCAGUGGGGAAUAUUGGACAAUGGGCGCAAGCCUGAUCCAGCGACGUCGCGUGGGUGAUUAAGGCCUUCGGGUUGUAAAGCCCUUUCGGCAGGGAAGAUUAUGACGGUACCUGCAUAAGAAGCUCCGGCUAACUUCGUGCCAGCCGCCGCCGUAA
This 465-nucleotide ribosomal RNA is filed under the name uncultured bacterium. Its description in RNAcentral is "partial 16S ribosomal RNA". It matches the Rfam family "Bacterial small subunit ribosomal RNA", at positions 29 to 523 of the family's 1533-position model. The record is from RNAcentral.